Long non-coding RNA from Brassica rapa (field mustard), 3093 nucleotides. RefSeq lists it as uncharacterized. Lineage: Eukaryota; Viridiplantae; Streptophyta; Magnoliopsida; Brassicales; Brassicaceae. The record is from RefSeq and is a predicted model, not a curated record.
UUUUUGUUGUCUAAUUCUACUUUUAAAAUAUUAUAAAUCUUAUUUUGAUUUUAAAAAGAACUUUUAUGUGUAAAAUUUUAAUUUAUAAAGAUAAGUUUGAAAUAUUUAAAAUAUAUUAAAGGUUUAAAGAUUAAAACUAUGAGUGAGAAAAUACUUAAGAAUUAUAAAUGUGAUGUAUAAUUAAUUAUAAGAACCAAUAUGCAAAUAAAAAGAUGAAACUUUAAAAUUAGAGUUUCUUUUAGAGAUGCUUUUACGGGUGGUUAGUAGAAGUUGUGGCUUUCUGUUUUUUUUUUGCUCUAAGAUUUAACUCUAGAUUUUUAACUUUACUUCUAGUUUAUUUUGUUGUAGAAAUUUUUCGAAGCACUAUAUAAAAUCUUUAGAGAAAGUGAUUUCUAACGCUAACAUAUUUCUUUUUAUAAUGUUUUGGCUUUAAAUUCAAUUUCUAAAAUAAAUGCAUGAUUACUUUAAAAAAUAGAUGUAGAAAUUAAAAAGGUUGUGCACAGUUCCUACAACCUCAACCAAUUUAUUUUAUCUACUGCUUCUAUCAGUAGCAUUUAAUGUAAGCCUUUAGUUUCAAAAAAAAAAGUAGCAUUUAAUGUACGGAUCUUGAAUAUGCAUGACAGACAAUACAACGACAUUUAUUAGAUAUCUUAAUCUUGGUGAUUUUUAAUAUAUUUUAUAAAUGUGAGUAAAGUCGAUUACUUCUUAUUUUAUUUUUUUUAAUUACUGUCCACUUGCUGACACACGUAAUAAAAAAAAUUCUACACCACAGAAUCAUCAUGCUGUAAACAUCCUUGACUCUAUAUUUUAUAAAUGUACUCUCGAAUAAGGAAGAUUACACAUUCAUGUAUAUUGUCAAAUGACUAAUAAAGCUUUCGGUUCCUUUGCUAUGAUUUUAUUCGAUCUCUUCGAACAUGUAGAUAUUCUAUUUCGUCUCCUGUACCAAGAUUUUUUCUCCAUUUGUAUAUAUGUUUUGUUCAUUUUAUUUUGAUUCAAAGGUUAAGAGUUCUAGAUUUUGACUGAUAAAAUUGAAUGCUAAAUGGAAUGAGAAGAAAAGUCAAGAGAAAAAAUAUAAACAAAAUUUUAGUGUACAUUUUCCUCUGUUAUUUUCAUUGAAUCUUAGAGCAUCUCCAACCCAACUUCAAAUCCUCAAAUUUUAAAGUUUUUGUCAUUUUAACUCAUUCUCAAAUUUUGAGAUUUUAAAUAGUGACACCUCAAAUUUGAGGUUUUACUAUUUAAAACCUCAAAACCACUAUUCAUUUUCUUUUUAGUCCUUACAAUUAUUUUCUUUAACAAAUAUAUCUAAUAAAUUUAUUUAGCAUAAUUUAAGUACACCAAAAUAAAAUAAAAUAAAAUAAAUAUUAUAUAGCAUGAAAAUAAAAUUCACACAAUAGAAAGAUACAUUAAAUAAAACUUGCACAAAAUAAAAAUACAUUAAAUAAAUUUAAUACAAAUUAAAAAGUUAUAUAAACACUUAAAUAUUACAUAUUUUACGGAAAUAACUUUCUAAAAUUUGUGUGUAUGUGUUGUUUUAUUAUAUACGUAAUUUAUAUUAUAUAAUAUUGUAAUAUUGUGUGUUUAUAAAAUAUUAAAAGUAUCUUUUAUAUGUAUUUGUUAAGUUUUAUCAUUAUUAGUAAUUUUUGUUAAUGUAAAAGACUAUAAUGUAAAUAAAUAAAUUUUUAAGAAUUUUUUUGAAAAUUUAUGGUUGGAAUAAUCAACCUUCAAUUCUUUAUUUUGAUGUUUUGCUCUCCUUAAAAUAAGGUUUGGGUUAGAGAUGCUCAAGUAGAAGAAGUUUGGUUUCCACUUUUCAGCAAACCAAAAAAUAAUAACAAAUUAAUUCGUUCCAUCUUUUUUAUUGGUUGAAAGAGAGUAUAACACAGUAAAAUUCAACGCUGCUGAAAACCUAUUCUCCUUUUUGAACCUGCCACUAGAAACCAAAAUAGUGCAAGUGUACUAAUUAUAACUUGACUACAGAAACCUAAAACAAAAAACUUAGUAGUAUAUUUAACUAAUAAAUUCUAUUCCAGACAAACCUAACUAAACAAAAGAAAAAACAACCUUCGGCCGCAUAGUGCGUAUUAGAAAAGAAUAACUAGAGUUUUAUACCACGAAAAAGGUAAAAAGGCGGGUAAUACUACUAUAGUAAAAAGUAUUACUAUAACAUACGUGCUCAAUGAUUACUAGCUAUCUAGUCCCCAAAACUAUUCUUUUGUGAGUGGAGGAAAUAUUUGAUAUUAUUUUCGUUAUCAUUGUGAAGAAGAAGACCAUCUUAGCAUAUCAUAUCAUUGUGGAAGUGUCAAGUGCGAUACACAUACACAUGGUAAAUAACAAAAAAUGAAAAGUAAUGUUCGGUUUUCAACAAGGAUUUAUAAGUUAAACCUUACCACUUCAAUGCAUAUAUGUUGUUUUAUCGUGGCUCACAAUGUAACUUAAAGAUGGCGAUGUACAACCUAGACCGCGGGUCUAGCCCGCUAAAACUUGUAGCGGGAUAGUAUUGGGCCAGACAUAUCAUGUUCCGUAAUAUUGCGGGUUUUGCAGGUCGGUAUUGUGCGGGAAUGGGCUUAAACCGGAAUGACCCAAAUAGAAUAUGUGGUUAACCUAAUGUCCCGCAAGUUAUAGACUUCUCAUUUCAUUCUUCACUUGAAAAAACAAAGUUGAUAGAGAGAAAAGUGAAAGACGACUCAAUUUCAACUUUCACUGUCACAAGAUAUGGAGCUCCGACAACAGCGGUUCUUCCAACUCGGCUUCCAAACAUCACAGAUUAGACAUGCAUGUUGUUAGCUAACUAAGGAAAGAAAUCCAUGUUAAAAGACCAACAAAACAAGAUCCAAAAUCUAAAGAUACUUACUUAGUUUAUUGAUUGUGUAAGACCGUUAGAUCCAUGUAAUAGAACCGACAAGACCAAAUAGAUCUAUGUGUUAUGUAUGUUUUCUCGGUUUGGUUUCUCUUAGUAUGAUGAUUAUAGCAUGUUCUAUUUGUUACUAAUAAUUCAUUGUGUAUAAUUGCAUUUUCUGUUUGCUCAUGAUAAAUCAUUGUGUCAUAUUGUUGUAAUGUUUGCUCAUGAUAAAUAUAGUCUAGUCUUGUUUCAUGGUU